This 5291-nucleotide long non-coding RNA is filed under the name Sus scrofa (pig). RNAcentral describes it as "lncRNA (ENSSSCG00035059667.1)". The record is from RNAcentral. Lineage: Eukaryota; Metazoa; Chordata; Mammalia; Artiodactyla; Suidae.
CUUUCUUUUUUUUUUUUUGGUGAUGGUUUUUUAUUAAACAUUCCUAAAGAUAAUUCUUUGUACAGGUGGGGGUAGUUGCUAUCCUGUACACUGUAGGAUGUUUAAUAGCAUCCCUAGCUUCAACCAACUAGAUGGCAGCGGCACCCUUUCUUUAGUUGUUGCAACCAAAAAUGUCCCUAGAUAUUUGCCCUGUGGUCAAAAGUGUCCUCAUUUGAGAACCCCUGAGUUAAAUUGAGGCAGUAGUAUAUAUCUAUGUGUAUGUGUGUGUGUGUGUGUGUGUGUGUGUGUGUGUGUGUGUGUGUGUGUGUAUACAUAUAAAUACAUACCAUAAAAAGAAUCAAAUUCUGCCAUUUGCAGCAAUGUGGAUGCACGUAGAGAAUAUUAUGCUUAGUGAAAUGUAAGACAGAGAAAAAUAUUGUAUGACAUCCUUUACAUGUGGAAUCUAAAAAAAUAAUACAAGUGAAUGUAUAUGCAAAACAGAAACAAACUCACAGCUAUAGAAAAUAAACUUGUGGUUACCAAAGGGCAGGAAGGAGGGAGAAGUUAGGGGUAUGGAAUUAAUAGCUACUAACAACUAUGUAUAUAAAAUAGAUAAGCAACAAGGAUAUAUUGUAUAGCACAGGGAAUUAUAAACAUUACCUUAUAAUAAUUUAUAGUGGAGUAUAAUCUGCAAAAACACUGAAUCACUAUACACAUGAAAAUAACAUAAUAUUGUAAAUAAACUAUACUCCUAUAAAAAAUUAAAGUUUUUAAAAAUUAUGAAAGCUAUAAGCAUGAGAAAUAAGAAUCAUUCAACUUUGCUAAGAUUCACUAUGAAAAGAAUUGGGUAACCCAAAUGGAGGGAAAGUACUAUGGCCUUAGACCAUGAAAGAAAAAUAAGCAGUUAUAUGGAAAUUAAUAUGUUUAGAAGCAUAUUACAGUAGUCAAAUACAUUAUAAAUUUGGACAUCAUCUCAAUGUCACCACCAAAAUGAUUUUUUUAAUUACUCAAUCUCCUGGGGAAAUUACUUUCCAUGAGAUUGUACCUUCAACUGCAUAAUAAAAACAUCAUUCCAAUUACUGAAACACACUUUAUAAUAUUAAUUUCUGGUAUUAUUUUAUAAUCAAAGAUCAGUAGGUUCACAUUCUUAUAAGUAAAAGCAUUUUUAUUUAUAAGAGAGAAUUUUUAUUCCAGCCACUUAUUCAGGAAAUGCUAAUGAUAUUUUAUUGUGGAAAUCUUAACACAAUAUAGUUUCAAUGCACACUUAAUUUGGCAUAUCCAAAGGAGAAACAUCUUCAAGAUAUUACAAAUGUGAAGCCCACUUCAACUGUAAAUGACUCAUUUUUAUGGAUGUGAUUAACAUAUUGCCAGCGCAUUCAACUCUAGAGUAGGAUUUUUAACCACCUCAAAUGUACGCUCAAAAUAAUGUACUCCUAUAAUAUCAGGUUCUUUAUGAAAAUGCAUUCCAGACAAUCCCUCUACUUGAGUAAAAACUGUGAAUUCUUUAUUUGGCCAUGGUUUAUAUGUAGUCUGACAAUUCUUCUAAUCUUUCUUCAAAUCAACAAAUAUCAACCAGUAAAAUAAAAGUAGAUUAUAGGCAAAAUCUAAACUGAUCAGGUACUUUAAGUGUGUCAGUUGUCCUUAAUGUCUCCUGUUUUAUUAUUAACUGCCUACCAUUGAACCAACAUAAAUAUGUUUACCUAAAUGAUCAGAGAAGUUAUCUCCUUCCUAACAUUUACAAGAGGAAAAAUCUUUCUACUUAUUUCAAAAUGGGCUAUGAACACAUUCCUAAAGUAAUUUUAAACAAGUGUAUUCCUCUGAAAUUUGAUUUUGAAAAGAAAAUACACGACUGAAAAUUACACACAGAGAACACUUCAACCAUAACUAUGGAACAAAAAUCACUACAUCUUGAUACACAAUUAAGACACUAUUUUGAAAAUGCAACCACACACUCAAACUCCACCAUUGUUCACUAAACUCUACCAUUUUUCCUCCCACUCCAACCCUUCAAGAUCUUCUUGUGUUGUUCAUGUCAAUUUUAACUCCCAUAUCAUUUUUUCUUCUGUUAAGAACAAUCUGUUGAGUGGUUUCAUUUCUUUAACACAUGCAAUUCAAUUGUGGUUUCAUGUUAAUGUAUAUAACAGCCUGAUUUGUGCAGAUUAUCUGACUCUUCAUUUUCUACCUGUUUGAUUUCUGCAAGUCAAUGGCAUAAAGGAAAUUCUUGCUUUCUAGUUGUAUCACAAUAAGAUAAAUAUAACAACUAGAUGAAAGAGGUUUGGAAUAUAUUAGAGUAUAUUCAAACACAAUGCAAUUCUCUUACAUUUUAACAGUCAUCAUUGAACUUUUAGGGCUCUACCUCUUCUAAGGCACUCUUUCUUCAAACAAGGAAAGGAAAAUGAAAACUAUUUUUGAACUCAUAGUUUUAUAUUGCACAUAGAAUUGUGUCUUAAUUCCAAGUGGACACAAAGACUUAAAAAUUAAAUGGCACACAAUCUCUAAAUAAAAGUAAAAUGCUGGGUUUUUUUCUCAGCUUCCUAUUAGGAGGUUCAGAUUCAAAUAGCUUCUGUCCAGACUAGCAUUCUUCAAUGCUGCUCUUCUCAGCUUAUCGCUAAAACCACUGAAGGCAAUUUUUAAAAUCAAAACUAACAGAUAACCAAUUUCAUAAUCUGGAAGGAACAGAUAUAUUCUAACUUUGAAACUCCUAAGAGGAAUUUAAUGAUGCCAUGACAUAUCCAUAGUUCACUUCUAAUUGCCAGAUUCAAAGAUACAGAAAACUAAGAAUACACCCUUUUUCACUUUAUAAAAAAAGAAGAACCCAGAAUUCUUAGAUUUGGCGAUUAUUCUCUGGAACAAAAAAUUCUUUCACUAUAUCACCUUUAAGGGGGAAAAAGUGAGCAGAAAGUAGGAGGGAGAGGACUGUAAUACAUGUUCUAAAAGACUAGUCUGCAUAUGUAAAAUCUUUGGCAGAUGGUGUGGAAAGGACAGGUGAAUGAGGCACAAAGAAAUUACCCUAAUUUUCUGGGAAUUACAGAUGCCAUGUAAAAUUUCUCCUUACAGUAUCCAAGAAUAAGACUAUGGGAGUUUAAAAAAGAUCAAACUGCAACUGAUGGAAGAUAUCUUAAAUAAAAACUGUCAGAAAAUAGUAACUGAAAUGGAAACAAUGUCCAUUAAACUAUAAAGUGAACAUUUAAGUUUUUACCACCAUUACUGUAUAAAAGGAGCUGGAAGAAGGAAAAUCCACUCAAACUUUGUAUCUUUGUGGCAUUACAUAAAACUGAACUGAAAAAAAGUUUAAGUAUAUUACAAAGGAAAGAGAACGGUAUUUGAAAAAUUCAGAUAAAAUGAAAAGGGGGGCAUUUUAAAAAAGAAAAAUUACAAAGAAUUUAAAAACAGAGUAAAAGAAUUGAUUGAUAGUGAAAGUGGUAGUUUUAAGCAUUAUUUAACUGUUCCAUAAGUUCUCAUAGGUAGAAAGAAAAAGGAGAAUAUGAUAGAGAGGUGGAAAAAUAAAGAGAGGAAAGUUAAAAUACACUUAAUUAGUGUUUCUGGAAGAGAGCCCAGAGCAAUUGAACAGAAACAAUAAUCAAGAAUAUACAGAGUAAAAGGCAAAAGAUCUAUAUGAUCUGAUAUAAUGGAAAAAAUAAAAAUCAUUAUAAACAAAGACCCACACAAAAAAGAGUAUACUGAGGAGUUCCCCUCAUGGCUCAAUGGAGAUGAAUCUGACUAACAUCCAGGAGGACACAGGUUCUAUCCCCGGCCUUGCUCAGUGGGUUAAGGAUCUGGCAUUGUGGUGAGCUGUGGUGUAGGUUGCAGACAUGGCUCAGAUCCUGUGUUGCUUCGGCUGUGGCAUGGGCUGGUAGCUACAGCUCCAACUCAACACCUAGGCUGGUAAUUUCCAUAUGCCACAGGUGUGGCCCUAAAAAACGAAAAAAAAGAAAAAAAUACAUACUGAAAGAAAACUUUCCGAAACUCAAAAAGAGUCACAUGGCUCCAGAAAAAGAUAAAUGAGUAAAGGCCUACUUAAAGUCUCUGUUUUUCUAUUUCUUCAUAAUUAUAUUUUCCUUUUCUUUUCACCCAGUGAGUUCUUACAGAACAGUUUUAAAAUGCUUAAAACUACUACCUUCAGUAUCAAUGAAUGCAUCUAUUAUAUUUUUAGAUUAUUUGUAAUCUUUCUUUUUAAACAUCUUUUUCUAACUUUAAAAUGAAUGAUUAAAGACAUUGCCUGCAGAUCCCCUCAAAUGACCCAGCAGCAUUUCCAAUGCUCCCCGACAAACCCAAGCCCCACACACUCCAUCCCAUGGUCAGCUCACUGUGUGUGUCCCCAAGGUUAGGAGUGGUGAGAAUGAGCCUGUACAGACAGAUAGUAAGCAUGCAGGAUUCUGAGAAAACACACAAACCUGAGCAUUCAGCAUCAAGUUAAAGAAAGCAAAUAGGAAGCUGUCAGUAUAGAGCCUGGUUUUGCAGAAUUGAUAGAAGUCAUGCAACCUUAAGGAUUUCCUCAUAAGAGAGAACAAGAAGUUUGGAGAACGCACAUCCAUAGAAAAGAUCUGAGAAAGCCUCAGACUUUUUUUUUUUUUUUGGUCAUAUUUUUAGGGCCACAGCCACAGCAUAUGGAGGUUCCCAGGCUAGGGGUUGAAUCAGAGUGUAGCCACUGGCCUACACCACAGCCACAGCAACGCCAGAUCUAGGCCAUGUCUGCAAACAUAUACCACAGCUCACAGCAAUGCCAGAUCCUUAACCCAUUAAGUGAGGCUAGGAAUCAAACCUGUGUCCUCAUGGAUGCUAGACAGAUUCGUUUCUGCUGAGCCACGAUGGGAACUCCAAGCCGUAGAGCUCUUAACAGAACUGAAGAAAAUAAUUUCUCCCCGAAAACAGUCAAUAAAGUCUUAAGAAGGUGACUGCUUCUUCAAAUGAAAAAAACAGCAACAUCAGAGCUCAAGGAACAUGAAAAAUAAAGAAAAUGUGACAUUAUCAAAGGAACACAAUAAGUUUUCAGUAGCUGGCCUAAAAGAAAUAAAGGUCUGCACUUUGAUAAUUUAAAAUAGUUGUUCUAAAGAAGUUCAGUGAGCUACAAGAAAACACAGACAGAUAACUCAACAGAAUCAGGCAAAUGGUACAAAAACAAAAUCAGAAGUUUAAAAGAAUAUAAAUCAUAAAAAGAACCAAAAAAUUCUAGAGCUGAAGAAUACAAAAAAAUGAAAUGAUAAAAUAUCAAUAGAGAAUAUCAAAAGCAUACUGGAUCAAGCAGAAUCUGUGAAGUAGAAGAAAAAUCAUUUGAAAUUUUCCAGUCAAAAUAAAAAAAACAAAAAAAGGAA